Odocoileus virginianus texanus is the source of this 481-nucleotide long non-coding RNA. RefSeq lists it as uncharacterized. The record is from RefSeq and is a predicted model, not a curated record. NCBI's taxonomy places the organism in Eukaryota, Metazoa, Chordata, Mammalia, Artiodactyla, Cervidae.
GACUGCGACGGGAAACGCUGCUGCCUGGCAACGCGCUAGACCCGACCUGUUUCUGAAAACGCCGCCUGGCGAAACAGCGAGUUCUGAUUCUUGACGAUUCCCGCCUGUCCGCACAGCACCCAGCAAGAGAAUUUUUAAAUGUGUCAAGUUUGUCUCUGGAACUCCUGGCCUCCUGUUUUUCCACUCUUUCCACCUUUUUCCCUGCAGAGGUGGUAUGAACCAUUAUAGGCACCGCUGGAAAGUUAAAAACAUGGUGGAAACAACCAGGUGCAUCUCUCACUGACAGACGAGCCAGGGUGGGGAGAAAGAGGGGAUUCCUGCGAGGGAUGGAUAUACCUGUGUGUCUCCAUUGCUGAUCUUGUCUCAAGAGUCAGAUCCAAGAGGUGUGUAAAGAUCCAUAGAUCCCAUGGGACUUCCCUGGUGGUGCAGUGGUUAAGAAUCCACCUGCCGAUGCCGAGGACAUGAGUUCAAUCGCUGGUCU